AUUGAACGCUGGCGGAAUGCUUUACACAUGCAAGUCGAGCGGCAGCGCGGGGCAACCUGGCGGCGAGCGGCGAACGGGUGAGUAAUGCAUCGGAACGUACCCCGUCGUGGGGGAUAACUACCCGAAAGGGUAGCUAAUACCGCAUACGACCUGAGGGUGAAAGCGGGGGGACCGAAAGGCCUCGCGCGAUGGGAGCGGCCGAUGCCGGAUUAGCUAGUUGGUAGGGUAAAGGCCUACCAAGGCGACGAUCCGUAGCUGGUCUGAGAGGACGACCAGCCACACUGGAACUGAGACACGGUCCAGACUCCUACGGGAGGCAGCAGUGGGGAAUUUUGGACAAUGGGCGAAAGCCUGAUCCAGCCAUUCCGCGUGAGUGAAGAAGGCCU
Molecule: ribosomal RNA, 386 nt
Filed under: uncultured bacterium
Lineage: Bacteria
Description: bacterial SSU rRNA
Rfam family: Bacterial small subunit ribosomal RNA
Source: RNAcentral